GACGAACGCUAGCUACAGGCUUAACACAUGCAAGUCGAGGGGCAGCGAGAAGAAAGCUUGCUUUCUUUGUCGGCGACCGGCGCACGGGUGAGUAACGCGUAUCCAACCUUCCCCUUAGUAGAGGAUAGCCCGGCGAAAGUCGGAUUAAUACUCUAUGUUCUUUCUGGAUGGCAUCUGAUGGAAAGCAAAGGUUCACCGCUAAGGGAUGGGGAUGCGUCUGAUUAGCUUGUUGGCGGGGUAACGGCCCACCAAGGCGACGAUCAGUAGGGGUUCUGAGAGGAAGGUCCCCCACAUUGGUACUGAGACACGGACCAAACUCCUACGGGAGGCAGCAGUGAGGAAUAUUGGUCAAUGGGCGAGAGCCUGAACCAGCCAAGUAGCGUGCAGGACGACUGCCCUAUGGGUUGUAAACUGCUUUUAUAGGGGAAUAAAGUGAGGUAUGUAUACCUUUUUGUAUGUACCCUAUGAAUAAGGACCGGCUAAUUCCGUGCCAGCCGCCGCAGUAAUAC
RNAcentral lists this ribosomal RNA (509 nucleotides) under uncultured bacterium. Its description in RNAcentral is "bacterial SSU rRNA". It matches the Rfam family "Bacterial small subunit ribosomal RNA", at positions 28 to 526 of the family's 1533-position model. The record is from RNAcentral.